CUGGCACACAGUAGGUGCACAGAAGGUUUUAGUUCCAGUUUCAUCACCCAUCAUUCUCCCUUCCUAACAGGUGACAAGCAGAGUCCAGAGUCCUGGUGUCAGUAGGGAUGUCAUGGGAUCUCUUUCCGUUCCCCUGCUUUUAAGAUGACUCUUGAUAAUAGGUGAAAAGGAGUUACAGCCUUUUUGUAGACACCUCUUGAGGUAUUUGCAGAGCUCAUAACAAUUCUUUCUAAAAAUGGCCCUGACACAUACAAGCUUUCAGAUGCAAAUAACAAAACAUACACCUUAAGUAGGAUUAAGUAAUAAAGGAAAUUUGCUGAAAAGCCAGCAGAAAGUUAGCUUCAGGUGAGGCUUACUCCAGCAGCUCAAUGGAAGGACUAAAGACAUGGCUUAUCUUUCUCUCUCUCUGUUCUUCCUUCUAGGCUGUUGGAUUAAUACUUAACUCCCCUCAAGGUCACCAGCUGGCUGCCAGCAGUUCCUGGAAGGAGCUGUGUGCUUUAAAACUGACAUCCAGCAAGGCAGAAAGAGCAUCAUUGCCACCAUUUUCAGCAAAAGCUCAGAAAGUCACUCUGAUUGAACAGGUUUAGGUUAUUUGUCCUUCUCUGAAUCGAUCACUACAUCCAAGGAGAUGCCGAUUGGCUUAGCCAAGGUCAUAUGCUUCAUUUUUGAGGGGAAGGAGAUGGUAUAUUUCUUGGAUCCCCAAACAGAAACCAGGUGUUUUGAGAAAGGGGAAGGCCAAAAGAAGCAUCUCAGAAUCCUCAAGAAACAACAAAACGUGUUCAUAUUUUCAAAAAUCUUCUUCUAAUAUCUCAAACUGGUAUUUAAAAACAGGGUAAAGGGCUUUUCUACUUUAAAAAUGUUCCAGCAUUGUAAUACAACUGGAAGAGUCCCAGCCAAAAAGGCUUGACAUUUGACUAUCUGGGCAGCGAUAGAGCGUGCACUCAAAAUGAAAAGAGGAUGACAUGAUGCUUAAACUAUGUUUCAAAACCCACCCCCACAACAAAAUGAAGGGGGGGAGCAGAGGCGCUUGGAUGAUGUAAGAACAAGUAUCUCAAGGGUAUGUGAAGAAAUUAAAAGUUAGCAAUAGCCAGUAGCUUCCAGUUGGCCAGCCUAUUUUAACUCAGGAAAAUAAAAGGCAUUGCUAACUAAUUUUGGUCCCCUUCACAAAUGGAAAAAUAUUCAGAAGAAGAUGAAGAUACAGCAGUGACCCAAGCAGACACAAUCCCUACCCCAUGGAGCUUAAAAUUCUGAGAAUACUAAAUAGGGGUCUUCUUGGCCAGAUAAUUCACCUCUAUUUUCAGUUCCAUGAAUGUCCACCAUAUUAUGAGCACUGAACAGAGAGGAGGCUAUUCAUAAAGUUAAUGAGCUUUUAGUUUCACAGCUGCU
RNAcentral lists this long non-coding RNA (1386 nucleotides) under Macaca fascicularis (crab-eating macaque). Its description in RNAcentral is "lncRNA (ENSMFAG00000047514.1)". The record is from RNAcentral. Lineage: Eukaryota; Metazoa; Chordata; Mammalia; Primates; Cercopithecidae.